Molecule: long non-coding RNA, 2796 nt
Organism: Ruditapes philippinarum (Manila clam)
Lineage: Eukaryota; Metazoa; Mollusca; Bivalvia; Venerida; Veneridae
Exons: 3
Source: RefSeq, a predicted model, not a curated record
AGAUACUAUGAAAAAAGUAUACAGAAACAUAAUUAAUAAAACAUUAGCAUAAUUCACAAGAAAACAAUACAUCUUUCAAAGGUUUAAUUUUGAAGAUUGGAGAAAAAAUAUGUUUUGGUAAGGAAAUUAUCAAAGACAAGAUGGUGGCUUACAUUACUUAGCAAAAACUGGUCGUAUCCUGCGGUGAUUUUGGUUAUCUUGGUCUGUGAAUACAAGCAAAAAAAUUAAAAAAAUAGAUCAAUCUUGGAAGCUUUGCAUAUUUUAGAAGGCCAAAAAUUGUUUCAAACUGGCUGAAAUUUUAUUUGGACAUGACAACUGACUGUAUCGAAAUUUAUCUCGGCCCUACUGAUUUUUAGUUGGCGAGGUCCGAGGACCGACAGUCUUUCGCACAGACUGCAAUUUACAGUUGGUAUAGUAAUUUUUAGUGUUUGAUGAUCAGAAGAUUUGUUUUCCUUCUGAAAAUCAUGGAGUUGAAUAAUUUAAAUCUGUGUGAAAGCGCAAAGAGAAAGAGACUGAAAAUUAAUUUAUUAUUUCUAUGGACAAUAUAGAUGUAAUACAUUUGUAAUCAAACAUGUGGGUCAAUUUCCAACAGUAGUUGAAUUAUGACAAAGUAUUUUUAAUAAUUUUAUUUCACUUUUAGCUACUUGAAAAUUUCAUGCUGGAUGUUUGCUUACCAUUACAUUUUGCAUAAGAGCUCUAUGAUUGACAUUAAAGUCCACGGGCCAAUUCAUUUCUGAUAUAUCUUUCCGAUAUCUUGUUAUAAUAUAAAAGGCUGAACGUCAUCAUAGAAUUAUUAGGAAAAAAUAUAUAUGUUCAUUCUUUGUAAAAAUGUUAGAAGACUUGCAAGUUACUGAUUUUAUCAUUGCAUUGAUUUUAUUUAUUAUUGAAAAAUGCUGAACGGCUAUCCUCAACAGUGUGUAUAGGCUAGAACUUUCAGUAUGCAUUUUAGGGUCAUGACGGCUUUCCCGUUGCUGUCAACAAACUUUAACCUUUUUCAUAACUUUUCAGAUCUUGGUGUAUUGUCUUCAUACUUGGCCACAACAACCCUUCAAAUAGACCAGACUAAACUUGACCUCCAUAUAAACAUUCAAGAUGGUCGGCCUACAUGUCAGAUUUGUGAAUGUGAACGGCAGGAUAUCGAUUUUAAGGAUGCUUUAGGGUCAAUGAGAAUGAAAUCAAGAGAGAUAAAGGCUAAAAUGUGAGACUGUCAAUCUGACAAACCUUGCAGUGAAUAAAUGGAAACAGAGGCGUUUGUAUGACAGAACAGUAAUAGCAGGAGUGAUAAGGACAGAUGCCUGUAGAUGUGUCUUCAUGUCGGAAACACUAGAGAAAUUGAAAUAUUUGGGUUUUUCAAAACUUAAAAGAAAUUGGAAUACCAGGAGACUGCUUGCCCUUUGCAAUGUUGGAUGAUGUGAUGUCGAAAGCCUCAUGAAUAUAGUAACUUGACUUAAUCUAAUUAGAAAAAGAAAUGACAUUGAGGAGAAAACUAGUCACCAGUCUUUCACCAAGAACAUGAGAUAACUUUCCAAUAUUUGAAAUAUCAUAAUAUGUAUAGAACUUUAAUGAGCGAACAGUUUUUCACCAGGAAAAUAAGAUCACUUAUCUAUUUUUGAAAUAUGUAUGAACAGAACUCUAUUAACUUCAAGGUGAGAGUUUAUCACGAAGAACAUGAGAUAACCUAUGUAUGAACAGAACCACAUUUGUAUAUAGAGGCGCCAGUUCAUCACCAAGAAGAUGAGCUAACUUAUCAAUGUUUGAAAUCUGUUAUACCCCCGCACAACAAAGUUGUAAGGGGGGUAUACUGGAAUCAGCUUGUCCGGCCGUCGGGAGUUUGUCAGUUUUUUCUUGUCCGUCCAAUAACUUAAGAUUCCUUUGACCCACAGUCUUCAUAUUUGGCAUGGAGGUAAGUCAUGAUUAGUAGAUGACCUCUUUUAAUUUUGAGAACACCAAGUCAAAGGUCAAGGUCACAGGGUCUUGACUGAAGAAAGCUUUUCUGCCCAAUAACUUAAGAAUCCUUCGACCCACAGUCUUCAUUUUUGGCAUGGAGGUUAGUCAUGAUUAGUAGAUGACCCCUAUUUAUUUUCAGGUCACCAGGUCUAAGGUCAUGGUCACAGGGGCCUUGGCUAAUUAAAGCUUGUCCUCCCAAUUACCUAAGAAUCCUUUGACCCGUAGUCUUCAUAUUUGGCAUGGAGGUUAGUCAAGAUUAGUAGAAUACCCCUAUUGAUUUUGAGGUCACUGGGGCAAAGGUCAAGGUCACAGGGGCUUUUAUUACAAUUAGCUUGUCUGCUCAAAUGGUCUCAUAUAUUCAUCAUAAAACACCUCCAGGCAAGGCUGCAUGAAAUGGGGGGGUGUUAUUGAAGUCAUUCAAUGGCAGUUUCAGUUUUGAGGUCAGUAGGUCAAAGGUAAAGUUCACUUUGAUCUUUUCCACUAAAACAUGUAGAAUACAUAACUUAGCAAUGCACUGGCUUACUUCCCUCAGAUUUGGCUGGGAGGUUGUCUGAGCUGUAAAUGACUACUGGUGUGAUUCUGACAAAUUGGUAUGUGGGGGUAUUCACGCCAUGACAAUGGCAGUUCUAGUUUGUACAGAAAAUAUCAAGGUGCAAGUUUCUUUUAUUAAGAAUAGACUUAUUGAUUAGAUAACUUACAAUAUUUACAAACAUUUAUAAUACCAUACCCAUUUAAAGUAUUUCAGCUGAGAGUGUAUUAUCCAAAAUACAUGUAUUGUUAUAAUGUACUUUAUAGUAUAUUUAUUGUAAAGUUUUGAUUCUACUAGAUUUUAAAAACAUUUAGAUUUUA